CAGCUAGUUGGUGGGGUAAAAGCCUACCAAGGCUGCGAUCGGUAGCUGGUCUGAGAGGACGAUCAGCCACACUGGGAUUGAGAACGGCCCAGACUCCUACGGGGGGCAGCAGUGAGGAAUUUUCGGCAAUGGGGGCAACCCUGACCGAGCAACGCCGCGUGCAGGACGAAGGUCUUCGGAUCGUAAACUGCCUUUCUCUGGGAAGAGCGAGGACGGUACCAGAGGAAGAAGCCCCGGCUAACUACGUGCCAGCAGCCGCGGUAAUACGUAGGGGGCGAGCGUUGUCCGGAGUUACUGGGCGUAAAGGGCAUGUAGGCGGUCCGAUCAGUUUGGGGUUACAGCUCCCGGCUCAACUGGGAGAGCGCCUCGAAGACGGUGGGACUUGAGAGCCAGAGAGGGACACAGAAUUCCGGGUGUAGUGGUGAAAUGCGUAGAUAUCCGGAGGAAUACCAAGGCGAAGGCAGUGUCCUGGCUGAUUUCUGACGCUGAGGUGCGAAAGCUAGGGGAGCGAACGGGAUUAGAUACCCCGGUAGUCCUAGCCGUAAACGAUGACCACUAGGUGUGCGGGGUAUCGACCCCCUGCGUGCCG
RNAcentral lists this ribosomal RNA (589 nucleotides) under uncultured bacterium. Its description in RNAcentral is "SSU rRNA". It matches the Rfam family "Bacterial small subunit ribosomal RNA", at positions 242 to 848 of the family's 1533-position model. The record is from RNAcentral.